UAGGGAAUCUUCCGCAAUGGACGCAAGUCUGACGGAGCAACGCCGCGUGAGUGAAGAAGGAUUUCGGUUCGUAAAACUCUGUUGUUAGAGAAGAACAGCGCAUAGAGUAACUGUUAUGCGUGUGACGGUAUCUAACCAGAAAGCCACGGCUAACUACGUGCCAGCAGCCGCGGUAAUACGUAGGUGGCAAGCGUUGUCCGGAUUUAUUGGGCGUAAAGGGUACGCAGGCGGUUUAAUAAGUCGAAUGUUAAAGAUCGGGGCUCAACCCCGUAAAGCAUUGGAAACUGAUAAACUUGAGUAGUGGAGAGGAAAGUGGAAUUCCUAGUGUAGUGGUGAAAUACGUAGAUAUUAGGAGGAAUACCGGUGGCGAAGGCGACUUGCUGGACUUCAACUGACGCUGAGGAACGAAAGCGUGGGUAGCAAACAGG
This 428-nucleotide ribosomal RNA is filed under the name Bacteroidota bacterium. RNAcentral describes it as "Bacteroidetes bacterium partial 16S ribosomal RNA". It matches the Rfam family "Bacterial small subunit ribosomal RNA", at positions 355 to 776 of the family's 1533-position model. The record is from RNAcentral. Lineage: Bacteria; Pseudomonadati; Bacteroidota.